Molecule: unclassified non-coding RNA, 520 nt
Filed under: uncultured Glomus
Lineage: Eukaryota; Fungi; Glomeromycota; Glomeromycetes; Glomerales; Glomeraceae
Description: SSU rRNA
Rfam family: Eukaryotic small subunit ribosomal RNA
Source: RNAcentral
AGCAGCCGCGGUAAUUCCAGCUCCAAUAGCGUAUAUUAAAGUUGUUGCAGUUAAAAGCUCGUAGUUGAAUUUCGGGGUUAGUAGGUUGGUCAUGCCUCUGGUAUGUACUGGUCUCACUGAUUCCUCCUUCCUGAUGAACCUUAAUGCCAUUAAUUUGGUGUUUUGGGGAAUUUGGACUGUUACUUUGAAAAAUUAGAGUGUUUAAAGCAAGCUAACGCUUGAAUACAUUAGCAUGGAAUAAUGAAAUAGGACGUUCGAUCCUAUUUUGUUGGUUUCUAGGAUUGACGUAAUGAUUAAUAGGGAUAGUUGGGGGCAUUAGUAUUCAAUUGUCAGAGGUGAAAUUCUUGGAUUUAUUGAAGACUAACUACUGCGAAAGCAUUUGCCAAGGAUGUUUUCAUUAAUCAAGAACGAAAGUUAGGGAUCGAAGACGAUCAGAUACCGUCGUAGUCUUAACCAUAAACUAUGCCGACUAGGGAUCGGAUGAUGUUAAUUUUUAAUGUACUCAUUCGGCGCCUUACGG